GUCAAUUAUUAAAACAAAAGGACCAGUUCCAAAACCUUCUCCCUUCUCCAUCGGCUAUUCAAUUCUUCCUCAUUCUUUUUCAAGCAAAAACCCCCAAAUUGAAAUGGGAAUCCCUAGAUUCCUCACCACCACCACCUACCGUCGUCAUUGCCGACGUCCCCCCCUGGCGGCCGCCUUCAUCGCGCCUCCCGGCGGCGUGCCACUGUCUCCGACACUACCCCUCCUCUUUCCUUGCUCCCUCUUCCCUCUCUCUCCUUUCUCCCUCGGCCACACUCACGCCACCACCGCUGCUGUGAGCGCGGAAGCUCACCGUCGUGGCCCUUAUCGUCGCUGUUGCUAUCUCUCAGCCGUCGCCGGAUUAGUCUUCGCCUCCGGUCUCGGCUGCACGUGAUGCGCUACGGCCAGAGCCGCUGCUGUCACGGAGACCUCACCGUCUUCGUCGCUGGACUCCAGCCGCCGUCUCCGUCAAAACCCCAGUGCCGCCGUCCGCCGUUCAGCCCACCAGCGCUGGAUCUCGGCGGAUUCGAGCCGUCUUCAGCGUAGGAUAGAGGGCAUCACCUCCGGGACUUCCUGGACACGUGUACAGCGAGGUAGCAUUUGGCACCGUCGUCGUUCCUCAAUCGACUACUGAGCUUACCUUCUCGUCUCAAGCUAAGUUCCCUUUCUUAGUUCUUGUUAAUUGAACCCCCUUCCCCCUUUGAAGGCCAGUAGCAUUAGGGGUUUUCUACUUCAUUGUUGGGAGUGUUGUUGGAGACGAUGGGACUCGUUCAUUGCGUUUAGGCUAAAAAUUCAAACCUAGUAGCCUAUGUUCUCAUUUAUGGCAGUAGUUACAUUUAAGGUUCUAUGGGUAGCCCUUAGUUCCUGUGACUGUGAUUUUAGGUUCUUGUUAACAUGGAAUGUAAUAUGAUGCAAGGCAGUGUGUUGUUGUCGUGUUACUGCUACUUUCCUGGAGAUUCAAUACGUCGUUUGGGGUUCUAGAUUGUGAUAUCUCUAUAUAAAUGGGGAGAUCAAAAGGGCAAGGGUGUUACCUCUUGAAGGGAUUCUCGGCCUUUUGUGAUUACCGGGUAGUACUUGGACUUGCUACUUGCUCACUUACUUCUUGUGUUGCUGAGAUAUUUGAAGUAUGUGGGAGGAGAAUUUGAUGCAUAUGGAGGGGUUCCUUUAUAGAGGAGGGUGUGUACACGUGGGUUUUAAAUUGGGACUGCUAUACACUUUGUCUUCUUUCUGCAGUAUCUCCUUUAUUUUUUAUUUUUGCAACCACUUUAACUGAAUUUUGGUGGUGCUGUUGCAGGUGUACAACAAAGGUGGGGAGAUUGUUUGGAUGUGCUCUGCAGGCUGUUGCAGAGGCUGUUAUCUGGGUUCCAAUGCCGCUGAAUGGGCUGAUCUGUCCUGCGGCAGCCUUCGGUUAAAGCUGAGAAGCGCGCAGGAGUGGUAUGAUAUCCUCUUAACCAUCCUAUUUUUGGUUUGAGGGGGUUGAUCAUCUACAGCGAUCAUCUACGUCUCGGCCCAACCUCCGUCGGUAGUCGAGCCGACAGCUGGUGCUAAACAUGCCGAAGCUACCUCUCUUUUCCCCCUCGCAUUGUAAUAGAGUAGCUCCACUUGCAAACUUUCUUUCUUCAACAUGUAAUAGUUAGUCGGCGUGUAUUUCGUUUGUCUUUAUUUCCAUCGUCUAGCAUUUUGGAAAUUUAGACUUAGCUUGAGAUGUAUACCUCGUAUCUCAUUCACUUAAGAAAUAAACGGCCUCUUUUUUUUUGUAUCCAUGACUUAACUGGAAAUUCUAAAUAUUAUGUUUUUGAUUACUCAAUAAA
Long non-coding RNA from Salvia splendens (bonfire salvia), 1808 nucleotides. RefSeq lists it as uncharacterized. The record is from RefSeq and is a predicted model, not a curated record. Lineage: Eukaryota; Viridiplantae; Streptophyta; Magnoliopsida; Lamiales; Lamiaceae. The transcript has 2 exons.